This 484-nucleotide ribosomal RNA is filed under the name uncultured bacterium. RNAcentral describes it as "partial 16S ribosomal RNA". It matches the Rfam family "Bacterial small subunit ribosomal RNA", at positions 28 to 523 of the family's 1533-position model. The record is from RNAcentral.
GACGAACGCUGGCGGCGUGCUUAACACAUGCAAGUCGAACGAUGAAGCCGGAGCUUGCUCUGGUGAAUUAGUGGCGAACGGGUGAGUAACACGUGAGUAACCUGCCCUUGACUCUGGGAUAACUGCUAGAAAUGGUAGCUAAUACCGGAUACGACCCUCGGAGGCAUCUCCAGGGGGUGGAAAGAAUUUCGGUCAAGGAUGGACUCGCGGCCUAUCAGCUAGUUGGUGAGGUAACGGCUCACCAAGGCGAUGACGGGUAGCCGGCCUGAGAGGGUGACCGGCCACACUGGGACUGAGACACGGCCCAGACUCCUACGGGAGGCAGCAGUGGGGAAUAUUGCACAAUGGGCGCAAGCCUGAUGCAGCAACGCCGCGUGAGGGAUGACGGCCUUCGGGUUGUAAACCUCUUUUAGUAGGGAAGAAGCGAAAGUGACGGUACCUGCAGAAAAAGCACCGGCUAACUACGUGCCAGCAGCCGCGGUAA